This 386-nucleotide ribosomal RNA is filed under the name Notarius planiceps (flathead sea catfish). RNAcentral describes it as "partial 12S ribosomal RNA". It matches the Rfam family "Bacterial small subunit ribosomal RNA", at positions 791 to 1382 of the family's 1533-position model. The record is from RNAcentral. Lineage: Eukaryota; Metazoa; Chordata; Actinopteri; Siluriformes; Ariidae.
UAUGCUUAGCCUUAAACCCAGAUGCACCCCUACAUCUACAUCCGCCAGGGAACUACGAGCGCAGCUUGAAACCCAAAGGACUUGGCGGUGCCUCAAACCCACCUAGAGGAGCCUGUUCUAGAACCGAUACCCCACGUUGAACCUCACCACUUCUUGUUUUCCCCGCCUAUAUACCGCCGUCGUCAGCUUACCCUGUGAAGGACUUACAGUAAGCAAAACGGGUUCACCCAAAAACGUCAGGUCGAGGUGUAGCGUAUGAAGUGGAAAGAAAUGGGCUACAUUUUCUAUAAUAGAAUAUCACGGACGGUACUUUGAAAUUAGUACCCGAAGGUGGAUUUAGUAGUAAAAAUGAACAGAAAAUCUUUUUGAACCAGGCUCUGAGGCGC